GGGGCUGUAUUGGUUUUGACAGCAUCAGUAGCGGUAAGUGUAAGCAUGCAGCGCGUUGUGUAAUUAGCGCUUUAAUCUGAAUACUCAAAAUUCAAAUGGCAACACUCAGUUUGCUAUGGCUGCCUAAUUAGUUAAUUAGACAUCCGUUCGGGCCGCGUUGAGCAGGUUGGUCUGCUGCCAAGCUCCGCCGCCGACUCAAAUCAAAAUGCAGAUUGCUGCAACCUCAGGCUGUGCCGGUUGCAAAAGAUUUAUUCAGCUAAGUGAAAGAUUGGUUGGUUUAUUUCCUGUCUUUCGCCGACAAAUAAUAAUAAACUAAGCAUGUAGAAAGCUUAUGGCAACGAUGUUUGGACGCGAGUUCGACUCUCGCCAGCUCCACAA
Non-coding RNA from Arachidicoccus sp., 378 nucleotides. It matches the Rfam family "transfer-messenger RNA". Rfam says of the family: Bacterial tmRNA, also known as 10Sa RNA or SsrA, is named for its dual tRNA and mRNA-like properties. Lineage: Bacteria; Pseudomonadati; Bacteroidota; Chitinophagia; Chitinophagales; Chitinophagaceae. The record is from Rfam.